Molecule: long non-coding RNA, 827 nt
Organism: Glycine soja
Lineage: Eukaryota; Viridiplantae; Streptophyta; Magnoliopsida; Fabales; Fabaceae
Exons: 3
Source: RefSeq, a predicted model, not a curated record
CUUCUAUUCCUUUGUUAAAGUACUCGUUUACUCAAGUUUCCUUCAUGAUACCAAAAACACCAGUUUCUUUUAGGGGUAGAAUAAAAGAAAAUUUUCAGUCUGCCUUCUUCACUAAAUUCUUAAAUUCAGCCAACACAAUUUCCUUGGUGACCCAGAGACUAAGCAUUCAAAAAUAUUUGCAGGGUAUCUUCAGGAUUUGGUGUAUAAACUAAGUAAAGUUGGUAAAGCAAUUGAAAACAGUGAUCUAUCUACAGCUGCUUCUGUGUUUGGGAGUGGCACUGAUACUGAUUGGGUGCAAAAUGCUAAUAUAUCUUUGAAUAAGUGCUGAAGAAAAGACUGCGGUGGACACAUUCAAUUCCUCACUAGCUUCAUUGAUUUCAUCAGUUGCUGGGAAAGACGUUGAGUCCUCCAAACUUGCCUUUGUGUCUUCGGUCAGUGCAUUUGAGAAGUGGAGCUCCUUGAUGGGGCUGGUUGUUCAGCUUAAAGGGCUUUGAAGAAAGCUACAACACAUUUUAUCUCAUCUCAAAAUUUGUUAAAUACAGAGAAUUCCAUUAACUUUCUGUCUGGGUCACCUAAUUGGUGUCUUGGUGCAGUCUCAUUUCAGCUUUUAUCUAUCACCAUACAGAAUGUUAAGUUUGAGCACGAGUGUGCAUAGUCUCACUCAAAAUUGCAAUUUUGAUGUUGUCGAGAAUUUAACAAAAUGUUUUUUUUUUUUAACGAACAGCACAAAUAAAAGAACUUUGAAGUUGUAGGGUAAUCAAAAUCAACUUGAGGUUUGAGACUUUGAGUGAAAGAAUGAACCAUUCUUUGAUUCUUUGGUUUCAUUG